CCGUCAAUUCGUCAUCGCCUUCAGUGACCCCCUUUCCUCGGGUCGACCAGGAGACUCCUCAAGUCAUUGGCAAAAUGCCUCUCCGUUUUAACUCUCAAUUUCCUGAUUCAAACUCUGGCCUCAUUCCGCUCAGAUUCGUUGGAUAAGAGGCGGAAAUGAGGAAUGGGAAGAGGGAGAGCUGGUGGGGUUGGGUUUGACAAGGCGCAGCGGUGCCUGGAACCUCCUCGGCGGGGGAGCAGUGGCUCGGCCUGGAACCUGGCGUUGCGUGGUUAAGAGGAUAGCAAUGCGGUUUCUAUAUUUUCAGCUUUGCAGGCUUCUUGCACGACGUCUGCGGUUGUGAAGAUUUGAAACCGCGAAUGGAGGUUUACUUGAGCUUGGCACGUUGCAGCGAAAUUUCCAAUGUGAUGAAUCAAUUGAAAAAGCUAGGUACCUGUUAAGCCCACUUUUGGCAUCCCAACCGAGCUUCAUCCCGGGCAAAAAAGUGUCUGUCGGAUAGUCAAAGCUUUGCCACAGAUAAUUCUCCGGAUCGACGUCGUUUUCUCUCCGAACAACUAAGUUGCCCGAAUCCAGAAGCUGCGCCACGGUGUUCGCCGAGCUCGUCUGGUUCGACGUCGAUGACCACACUACUAUAUUUGCAGCUUCGUCAACCAGCAAAAGGUUUCCAUCGUCGCCGAUUUUCAACGACCCGGACGAGCUGUUUGUCAAUGGGUUGUCUCUGUUAGCAACCCAGACGACGACGGUUCUGUCUGGAUCACUGUCCUUAUACCAAACCCCGACGUACCAUUUGUUUGAAUUUCCCGGGGAGAAGAAGCCCAGUUCCACAACUCCCCCGGCAGAGACCAUGGUUUGGUUGGGGAAGAGAGGCUGCGUUGCGGUGAUGGUUUCAAUGGCCCCGGCGGCGAUUGGGAAGAGAGCGAUCAGAGCGGUGGAGAGCCACAAAGAGCAUUGGGUAUUUCUCAUUCUCUCUCUCUUUCUCUCUGGCCAAUCUGAUAUUUCAAGGAUGGACUCUAAUUCGAUACUCUUCUAGACGUUUAAGAAAGACUACUCAGUUCUGUGGUUACGACUAGGAUGUAAUAUUGAUCACCCCUCACUUGUGAUGGUUC
Diospyros lotus (date-plum) is the source of this 1103-nucleotide long non-coding RNA. RefSeq lists it as uncharacterized. Lineage: Eukaryota; Viridiplantae; Streptophyta; Magnoliopsida; Ericales; Ebenaceae. The record is from RefSeq and is a predicted model, not a curated record. The transcript has 2 exons.